Molecule: long non-coding RNA, 471 nt
Filed under: Nicotiana benthamiana
Lineage: Eukaryota; Viridiplantae; Streptophyta; Magnoliopsida; Solanales; Solanaceae
Description: long non-coding RNA (NBEN_LNC006880)
Source: RNAcentral
UUAAGUUUGGGAAUAUACCAUAUACUAUCCCAUUCCAAGGCCAAUCAAUAAACAUCAUGAACCUGCCUUACUCUAUGCCUCUGAAUUCUAACACUGUUAGUACGACAAGUACGACUAGUUACCCAGUUCCUGGCAUGAUGCAAGUGAUGGCUACCACAAGUGGAGAUAGACCGGGAAGCCAGCCUAUCAUACCUGCAAACUUGCCAUUAAUGUUUGGCUACUCUUCUGUACAGCAACAAGUACGACUAGUUACCCAAUUCCUGGCAUGAUUCAAGUGAUGGCUACCACAAGUGGAGAUAGACCAGGAAGCCAGCCUGUCAUACCUGCAAACUUGCCAUUAAUGUUUGGCUACUCUUCUGUACAGCUUCCAACAUUGGACAAGGAUAACCAACGCGGUGUGGCUUCUCAUCUUCAACAGCUUCACCCUUCCCAUGGAAGAGGCCCUCUGGGCUCAGAUAUGCAGAAUGAUGG